UAACACGUAGGGACCAAGCGUUGUCCGGAUUUAUUGGGCGUAAAGCGCUCGUAGGCGGUUCGGUAAGUCGGGUGUGAAACCCCUGGGCUCAACCCGGGGACGCCACCCGAUACUGCUGUGACUCGAGUUCGGUAGGGGAGCGGGGAAUUCCUGGUGUAGCGGUGAAAUGCGCAGAUAUCAGGAGGAA
This 187-nucleotide ribosomal RNA is filed under the name uncultured bacterium. RNAcentral's name for it is "partial 16S ribosomal RNA". It matches the Rfam family "Bacterial small subunit ribosomal RNA", at positions 521 to 706 of the family's 1533-position model. The record is from RNAcentral.